This 433-nucleotide ribosomal RNA is filed under the name uncultured bacterium. RNAcentral describes it as "partial 16S ribosomal RNA". It matches the Rfam family "Bacterial small subunit ribosomal RNA", at positions 29 to 507 of the family's 1533-position model. The record is from RNAcentral.
AGCGAACGCUGGCGGCAGGCCUAACACAUGCAAGUCGAACGAACUCUUCGGAGUUAGUGGCGGACGGGUGAGUAACACGUGGGAACGUGCCUUUAGGUUCGGAAUAACUCAGGGAAACUUGUGCUAAUACCGAAUGUGCCCUUCGGGGGAAAGAUUUAUCGCCUUUAGAGCGGCCCGCGUCUGAUUAGCUAGUUGGUGAGGUAAAGGCUGACCAAGGCGACGAUCAGUAGCUGGUCUGAGAGGAUGAUCAGCCACAUUGGGACUGAGACACGGCCCAAACUCCUACGGGAGGCAGCAGUGGGGAAUCUUGCGCAAUGGGCGAAAGCCUGACGCAGCCAUGCCGCGUGAAUGAUGAAGGUCUUAGGAUUGUAAAAUUCUUUCACCGGGGACGAUAAUGACGGUACCCGGAGAAGAAGCCCCGGCUAACUUCGUG